Small nucleolar RNA from Heteronotia binoei (common prickly gecko), 135 nucleotides. RefSeq annotates it as small nucleolar RNA SNORA33. The record is from RefSeq and is a predicted model, not a curated record. Lineage: Eukaryota; Metazoa; Chordata; Lepidosauria; Squamata; Gekkonidae. The transcript has a single exon.
UUGCCAGCGAUUUAAAAUCUGCUUAACUUUUUAAGUGUUCUGCAGAAACAAAAAAAAUAUGCUGGCAACACUAAAGCCAGAGUACGAGCCUUGAAGACUUUGUAGUCAUUAAGGUCCCCAUAAAUGGCUACAUUA